Molecule: long non-coding RNA, 1651 nt
Organism: Phyllopteryx taeniolatus (common seadragon)
Lineage: Eukaryota; Metazoa; Chordata; Actinopteri; Syngnathiformes; Syngnathidae
Exons: 4
Source: RefSeq, a predicted model, not a curated record
UCUGCUGCAGUUUGGACAUGAAGCUCUCGAUGUCGUCGAAGCAGUGAUUGAGAAUGCCCUGAGGAAGAGGAAGUUGCUCUUUUAACACUCUCCUCGUGACUUGCAGGUGACGAGACCGGACCGAAAAGGGUGGGAGGCGUACCACUUCUCUCUCGGCUCGAAGUAACGAGAUGUCAGGUCCUCCGUUGGCUGUUGCGGGAGAGAUAGGGCAGCGAGUGUACCUGAUUGGGUCGGGAAUGUUCUUACUCUUGCUGGACUUGGAAACAGCCUGCGUGAUGAUGUCGCACAUUUCUUCUGCCUGUGAGAAUGACAAAUUGAAGAAGAGAAUGUCCGGCUUCUUCUCGUUGACGCUUUGGCACACGAGGAGCAGGAGGGAUGGGAAGAGCUCCUUGGAGUGAAUGGACUCGCAGCGGAAAAUGGAGUUGAAGGAGUAGUUCUCCAGCUCCUCCUGCAUAACAUAACAUAACAACAACGGCUGUAUCUCUCUGUGAUUCCGUAACCAGGUGAUUACGCCGCGAAAGCGAGCUGCCCGACCGGUUUGACGGCAACACAGUGUCUUUCCGGCCGCCUUAUUUAUAGGGCUCAUCGACACCGCGUGUCCUCCAAUCGUGGGUAUCGCCUCGUGCUCAUUAGUAUCGCUCGCACUUCCUUCGCCUGCACAGACGUUGCUAUGAAAUUACCGACACGUGCAAGCUCAGCCAAGUAGAGUGCCGAACGGCAGAAAAUCCCUUCAUAGGCCCACAUUCCACAAAAACGAUUCAAGUUCUAAUUAAUUUAAAAAAAUAAAAAUAAAAAAAAAUUAGAUAUAAAAUAUUGACUUCCUUCUUCUAUUUAGCCCCACAAAUGGAAAAUAGGACCACAGGCACCCAAGAGGUUAAAAACAUUCUUUAAUAAAGACAAAAAGAAUGUAUUGUGGUUUUAAUUUUUUUUUUAAAUAGCACUCUAAAAUAUUGUAUUUAACAUGCAGUAAUGAUAUAAUUAAAUAGAUUGUUUAAAAAAAAAAAAAUGGAACUGUUUUUGACAGUUUUGUUCUUCAGUUCAAUGGAUAUUGUACUGCUCCUUCUGGGGGCAGUGUAAUGCGUUGUUGUUUUUCAAAGGCAGAAAGCAGUGAGCGUGCGAACGUCAGGAUGUUGGAUUUAAGGUAAUCCAUCGUUACGGUUCUGGCAAUAAUAAUUCUGAGAAUUCAUUUUAUUUAUAGGCACCUUUUAAGUCACUCAAGGUCAACAACGGCGUUGAAAGAAUAAUCACACGCACUUCCUUUCGCAUUAAAUUUCACACGGCUAAUUGAGGCCAGAAUCGGUCUACAUUGUGGUUUUAAGUUUUUUUGUUUUUUAAUUUAUCCCCCCCAGUGUGAAAGGUUUUUGUUUUUUUUAGGUUCAUGCUUUCUCGUCUUAGUUUUUUAAGGUGCUGACGUCAGCAUGUUUGAUUCCAGCUAAUCCUUCUGACAAACUCUCGGGGCACAAAUAUGUGGCGCAAAACUAACAAUUUAGCCGUCAAUGACGAUAAAGGCUUUCUGUUUUAUGCCUACCUGACAAACCGCAUGAGACUAAAAAUAGAUCCGACAGCGACAUAUGUCAUUACGUUACAUGUUCAACUCAACCAAAACGUGCCCUACUGGCUGUUUCCUUAACUAUUUCAAAAUGUUAACUUA